UACACUCCUACGGAGGCAGCAGUGGGGAAUAUUGCACAAUGGGCGCAAGCCUGAUGCAGCCAUGCCGCGUGUAUGAAGAAGGCCUUCGGGUUGUAAAGUACUUUCAGCGGGGAGGAAGGCGAUAAGGUUAAUAACCUUGUUGAUUGACGUUACCCGCAGAAGAAGCACCGGCUAACUCCGUGCCAGCAGCCGCGGUAAUACGGAGGGUGCAAGCGUUAAUCGGAAUUACUGGGCGUAAAGCGCACGCAGGCGGUCUGUCAAGUCGGAUGUGAAAUCCCCGGGCUCAACCUGGGAACUGCAUUCGAAACUGGCAGGCUAGAGUCUUGUAGAGGGGGGUAGAAUUCCAGGUGUAGCGGUGAAAUGCGUAGAGAUCUGGAGGAAUACCGGUGGCGAAGGCGGCCCCCUGGACAAAGACUGACGCUCAGGUGCGAAAGCGUGGGGAGCAAACAGGAUUAGAAACCCGGGUAGUCCC
Molecule: ribosomal RNA, 472 nt
Filed under: uncultured organism
Description: partial 16S ribosomal RNA
Rfam family: Bacterial small subunit ribosomal RNA
Source: RNAcentral